GAAAAAGUGACCGAGAAUAAGUGAGGUGUUGUAAGCACCUUGAUGGGAAGAGCUUCCCCUUUUUCA
RNAcentral lists this transfer RNA (66 nucleotides) under Craspedonirmus immer. RNAcentral describes it as "tRNA-Tyr". The record is from RNAcentral. Lineage: Eukaryota; Metazoa; Arthropoda; Insecta; Psocodea; Philopteridae.